RNAcentral lists this ribosomal RNA (438 nucleotides) under uncultured bacterium. Its description in RNAcentral is "bacterial SSU rRNA". It matches the Rfam family "Bacterial small subunit ribosomal RNA", at positions 355 to 786 of the family's 1533-position model. The record is from RNAcentral.
UAGGGAAUUUUCGUCAAUGGGGGGAACCCUGAACGAGCAAUGCCGCGUGUGUGAAGAAGGUCUUCGGAUCGUAAAGCACUGUUGUAAGUGAAGAAUGCCAUAUAGAGGAAAUGCUAUGUGGGUGACGGUAGCUUACCAGAAAGCCACGGCUAACUACGUGCCAGCAGCCGCGGUAAUACGUAGGUGGCAAGCGUUAUCCGGAAUCAUUGGGCGUAAAGGGUGCGUAGGUGGCACGAUAAGUCUGAAGUAAAAGGCAACAGCUCAACUGUUGUAUGCUUUGGAAACUGUCGAGCUAGAGUGCAGAAGAGGGGCGAUGGAAUUCCAUGUGUAGCGGUAAAAUGCGUAGAUAUAUGGAGGAACACCAGUGGCGAAGCGGUCGCCUGGUCUGUAACUGACACUGAUGCACGAAAGCGUGGGGAGCAAAUAGGAUUAGAUACC